GAAACGCGAUAGGUAAUGUGAAUUGCAGAAUCUAGUGAAUCAUCGAAUCUUUGAACGCACAUUGCGCCCUCUGGUAUUCCGGGGGGCAUGCCUGUUCGAGCGUCAUUACAACCCUCAAGCUCUGAAACUGACCUCAGAUCAGGCAGGGACACCGCCUGAACUUAA
RNAcentral lists this unclassified non-coding RNA (165 nucleotides) under uncultured Ascomycota. Its description in RNAcentral is "sequence contains ITS1". The stretch from base 1 to 105 matches the Rfam family "5.8S ribosomal RNA", at positions 50 to 154 of the family's 154-position model. Rfam says of the family: 5.8S ribosomal RNA (5.8S rRNA) is a component of the large subunit of the eukaryotic ribosome. It is transcribed by RNA polymerase I as part of the 45S precursor that also contains 18S and 28S rRNA. Lineage: Eukaryota; Fungi; Ascomycota. The record is from RNAcentral.